RNAcentral lists this ribosomal RNA (400 nucleotides) under uncultured Bacillus sp. RNAcentral's name for it is "bacterial SSU rRNA". It matches the Rfam family "Bacterial small subunit ribosomal RNA", at positions 975 to 1375 of the family's 1533-position model. Lineage: Bacteria; Bacillati; Bacillota; Bacilli; Caryophanales; Bacillaceae. The record is from RNAcentral.
CAGGUCUUGACAUCCUCUGACAAUCCUAGAGAUAGGACGUCCCCUUCGGGGGCAGAGUGACAGGUGGUGCAUGGUUGUCGUCAGCUCGUGUCGUGAGAUGUUGGGUUAAGUCCCGCAACGAGCGCAACCCUUGAUCUUAGUUGCCAGCAUUCAGUUGGGCACUCUAAGGUGACUGCCGGUGACAAACCGGAGGAAGGUGGGGAUGACGUCAAAUCAUCAUGCCCCUUAUGACCUGGGCUACACACGUGCUACAAUGGAUGGUACAAAGGGCAGCGAAGCGGCGACGCAUGAGCGAACCCCAGAAAACCAUUCUCAGUUCGGAUUGCAGGCUGCAACUCGCCUGCAUGAAGCCGGAAUCGCUAGUAAUCGCGGAUCAGCAUGCCGCGGUGAAUACGUUCCC